RNAcentral lists this unclassified non-coding RNA (250 nucleotides) under plant metagenome. RNAcentral's name for it is "partial contains small subunit ribosomal RNA, internal transcribed spacer 1, and 5.8S ribosomal RNA". The record is from RNAcentral.
GUAGGUGAACCUGCGGAAGGAUCAUUACUGAGUUCAUGCCCUCACGGGUAGAUCUCCACCCUUGAAUACCUAUCUUUGUUGCUUUGGCGGGCCGCUUCGGCUACUGGCUUCGGCUGGUGAGUGCCCGCCAGAGAACCCUCAACUUUGAAUUAUAGUGUCGUCUGAGAAUUAUCAAAUAGUUAAAACUUUCAACAACGGAUCUCUUGGUUCUGGCAUCGAUGAAGAACGCAGCAUCUGACUGACUAGCAAC